AUUGAACGCUGGCGGCAGGCUUAACACAUGCAAGUCGAGCGGAGUGAUGGUGCUUGCACUAUCACUUAGCGGCGGACGGGUGAGUAAUGCUUAGGAAUCUGCCUAUUAGUGGGGGACAACAUCUCGAAAGGGAUGCUAGUACCGCAUACGGCCUACGGGUGAAAGCAGGGGAUCCCUUGUGACCUUGCGCUAAUAGAUGAGCCUAAGUCGGAUUAGCUAGUUGGUGGGGUAGAGGCCUACCAAGGCGACGAUCUGUAGCGGGUCUGAGAGGAUGAUCCGCCACACUGGGACUGAGACACGGCCCAGACUCCUACGGGAGGCAGCAGUGGGGAAUAUUGGACAAUGGGGGGAACCCUGAUCCAGCCAUGCCGCGUGUGUGAAGAAGGCCUUAUGGUUGUAAAGCACUUUAAGCGAGGAGGAGGCUCUUUCGGUUAAUACCCAAGAUGAGUGGACGUUACUCGCAGAAUAAGCACCGGCUAACUCUGUGCCAGCAGCCGCCGUAA
Molecule: ribosomal RNA, 503 nt
Filed under: uncultured bacterium
Lineage: Bacteria
Description: partial 16S ribosomal RNA
Rfam family: Bacterial small subunit ribosomal RNA
Source: RNAcentral